GAUGAACGCUGGCGGCGUGCUUAACACAUGCAAGUCGAACGGAAAGGCCCAAGCUUGCUUGGGUACUCGAGUGGCGAACGGGUGAGUAACACGUGGGUGAUCUGCCCUGCACUUCGGGAUAAGCCUGGGAAACUGGGUCUAAUACCGGAUAGGACCACAUUUUGGAUGGUGUGGUGGAAAGUUUUUCGGUGUAGGAUGAGCUCGCGGCCUAUCAGCUUGUUGGUGGGGUAAUGGCCUACCAAGGCGUCGACGGGUAGCCGGCCUGAGAGGGUGUACGGCCACAUUGGGACUGAGAUACGGCCCAGACUCCUACGGGAGGCAGCAGUGGGGAAUAUUGCACAAUGGGCGCAAGCCUGAUGCAGCGACGCCGCGUGGGGGAUGACGGCCUUCGGGUUGUAAACUCCUUUCGCUAGGGACGAAGCGUUAUGUGACGGUACCUGGAGAAGAAGCACCGGCUAACUACGUG
This 466-nucleotide ribosomal RNA is filed under the name uncultured bacterium. RNAcentral describes it as "partial 16S ribosomal RNA". It matches the Rfam family "Bacterial small subunit ribosomal RNA", at positions 28 to 507 of the family's 1533-position model. The record is from RNAcentral.